AAAAACAAAUUUUCUGUCUUGCCCAGAGCUUUCGGUCUUUUUUUUCCUUUUUUUACCGAAAAACCGAAAGCUGUGGGCAAGACAGAAAAUUUGUUUU
Molecule: microRNA precursor, 97 nt
Filed under: Phlebotomus papatasi
Lineage: Eukaryota; Metazoa; Arthropoda; Insecta; Diptera; Psychodidae
Description: microRNA mir-233
Source: RNAcentral